Molecule: long non-coding RNA, 2088 nt
Filed under: Arabidopsis thaliana (thale cress)
Lineage: Eukaryota; Viridiplantae; Streptophyta; Magnoliopsida; Brassicales; Brassicaceae
Description: long non-coding RNA (ATHA_LNC000454)
Source: RNAcentral
CGACAUUCACAAAACGUCGUUAAAUAAGAACAUAUCAAAGACAACUAUUUAACCGAAGAAGCUUUCUUUUAAAUUCUUGACUACUGCUUGCCAAAAGAACAUGUACAUAAUGCUUCGUGAUUGAUAUUCCUUCAGUGAGACCAGACGCUUUCACUAAAUAUAUGUAAACAGAUGAGAAUGAAGAUACCAAAUACUCAUGUGGAUUUGGUGGAUUUAGAGUAAAAAAUAUUCAAGCUUCUCAUGGACAAGUAUCGAUCGGUCGGGACGCGAAACCGUAUGAAACCGAUCGGUUUGGAUUUCUUACUGAUCUGUUUGGCUUUUGUAAAGUUUCAUUUUUCUAAGUUUUAGGGCUUCGACUCAUUAUAUUCUAGCCGCCGAGGUACGACUUUUUGUGCGAUUUUCUAGUGUCUAGGGUUGUUCUUCUUUAUAUAGCUUUGUUUAAUAGAUUCUUUAAAUCUUUUGGAAAUCACAAUUCAAACUCUAUCAUCUCUUUUUAUACUUUGAUUAUGUUUACUUUAGUCAUAUGUGAUCAUAGAUUAUAAUUCAUCUAUCAUCCAUUUGUUAUUCUAUUGUUAUCACAUAAUAAUUUAAAAUAAAUAUGCUAUUAUGAUUGUAUACAAUACACAUUUAUUAAAUAGAAGAUAACAAAAAAAAACUAAACGACGAUGUGGGUACGAGUUGAUAUUAUGUGAUUUUAGAAAGAUAACUUUUGUCUUUACAUUACGUAUUAUAUAAUUGAACCAGGUGUGGAUGCGUUAGAAACAAGUAUCGUCAUUAGAAGACCAUAAUUGUAAUAGCUUAUUGUAAUGGCCACGUAAUUAACUUUUAACACUUCUUCAAAACCACUAUGGUUCGUCCAUCGUGAGUAUAUUUAAAGAAACUUUGGUUUCAUUUUAUUUCAAACACUAUAUAUUUUAAAACAUUGUGAGAAAAUCACAAUAAAAUUUAAUGAAAGAUUUUGGAGUUCCUGGUAAAUGUUUUUAAUGUUUUUAAACUUCUAUUUUUAUUUUUUUAUUUGUUUAUUUGUUCAAAACAAAAAUUUCAUUUCAUUCGUAUACUAUCAGAAUAACGUAUAAAAUGAAAAUCUAUAUUAGAAAUAUCACUAUCUGUGGCUUUUGUUGACGGUACUAUUAGAGGUGGGCAUAAAUUCCGAACCAAAAUUGGGUAUCUCAAUAUUUAAGCUUGAAAACCGAUGACAUUUUUUAUUUUUGAUUUAGGCAACGGAUUCAGUUCAAGUUGGUCAUCGAUCACUUUACAUAUUUUGUUUUCAAAAUGUUUUAGAAGUUUUUUCAAUUCUUUUUUUUUUUUUUUUUUCUCGUACCUAACUUUGGAAAUGAACCAAUAUGAUGAAAUGUACUAAAAUUUUAAAAACAAUUGAUAAAAUUAUUGAAAUAUUUAAUGAUUUUUGCAACAAAAAUUGAACCAAAUGAUAAGUCAUAAUAUUAACAGUUAUUAAGAGUCAUUUUAAAAUAGAGUGUUGAGUCUUUUUGUCGAUAAAAAGUUAGUUUACGAUGCUUUUGAUCAUUGCAGGUUUAUCUGACUUGUUGGAGUAAAAAGAGGAGUUCAAAGAUAAAAUGGAGAAAAUGAGUCAAGAAAAUGAUUGACUUUUUCACUGGUCGGUACCGAAGACAUAUAAAAUCGAUAAGUUUGGGGUUUCUAAAGUUUCAUUUUUCUAUGUUUUAGCGCUAUGACCAUUGCAUAAUAAUAUCCGAUGUAUUUUAGUCGAAUGAGUGCGACACUUUAUGCAAUUUUUCUAGUUUCUAAGUUUGUUCUUCUUUUGAUAGUUUUGUUUAAAAUAUUCUUCAAACUCUUUGCAAAUCUCUUUUCAAAGUCAAUGAUCUCUUUCUCUAUUGUAAUCAUGUUUACCUGGGCCAUGAGUAGUAGUCCUAUCAUUGAAUUUGGGAUUUGAAAGAGGUUGUUUAUUUAAUAUACUUGUUAUUUAAUUUAUGGGAUUGUUUUUACACUAUCAACAAGAGGACAUCUAAACAUGGGUGCUGCCAACUUACAAAUAAGUUUUACAUGUCUAUACACAAAAGUGUAAACAUUCGUUUGGUAAAUGAGAUGAAUAAUUGGCAAAAAUAAGCGAGA